Molecule: ribosomal RNA, 789 nt
Filed under: uncultured bacterium
Lineage: Bacteria
Description: bacterial SSU rRNA
Rfam family: Bacterial small subunit ribosomal RNA
Source: RNAcentral
CGAACGGCAGCACAGGGAGCUUGCUCCCGGGUGGCGAGUGGCGCACGGGUGAGUAAUACAUCGGAACGUGUCCUGUUGUGGGGGAUAACUGCUCGAAAGGGUGGCUAAUACCGCAUGAGACCUGAGGGUGAAAGCGGGGGAUCGCAAGACCUCGCGCAAUUGGAGCGGCCGAUGCCCGAUUAGCUAGUUGGUGAGGUAAAGGCUCACCAAGGCGACGAUCGGUAGCUGGUCUGAGAGGACGACCAGCCACACUGGGACUGAGACACGGCCCAGACUCCUACGGGAGGCAGCAGUGGGGAAUUUUGGACAAUGGGGGCAACCCUGAUCCAGCCAUGCCGCGUGCAGGAUGAAGGCCUUCGGGUUGUAAACUGCUUUUGUCAGGGACGAAAAGGACCGUGUUAAUACCAUGGUCUGCUGACGGUACCUGAAGAAUAAGCACCGGCUAACUACGUGCCAGCAGCCGCGGUAAUACGUAGGGUGCAAGCGUUAAUCGGAAUUACUGGGCGUAAAGCGUGCGCAGGCGGUUCUGUAAGACAGAUGUGAAAUCCCCGGGCUCAACCUGGGAAUUGCAUUUGUGACUGCAGGACUAGAGUUCAUCAGAGGGGGGUGGAAUUCCAAGUGUAGCAGUGAAAUGCGUAGAUAUUUGGAAGAACACCAAUGGCGAAGGCAGCCCCCUGGGAUGCGACUGACGCUCAUGCACGAAAGCGUGAGGAGCAAACAGGAUUAGAUACCCUGGUAGUCCACGCCCUANACGAUGUCUACUGGUUGUUGGGGUUUUUNAACCUUGGU